RNAcentral lists this ribosomal RNA (492 nucleotides) under uncultured bacterium. RNAcentral's name for it is "partial 16S ribosomal RNA". It matches the Rfam family "Bacterial small subunit ribosomal RNA", at positions 29 to 507 of the family's 1533-position model. The record is from RNAcentral.
AGUGAACGCUGGCGGUAGGCCUAACACAUGCAAGUCGAACGGCAGCACAGUAAGAGCUUGCUCUUACGGGUGGCGAGUGGCGGACGGGUGAGGAAUACAUCGGAAUCUACUUUUUCGUGGGGGAUAACGUAGGGAAACUUACGCUAAUACCGCAUACGACCUACGGGUGAAAGCAGGGGAUCUUCGGACCUUGCGCGAUUGAUUGAGCCGAUGUCGGAUUAGCUAGUUGGCGGGGUAAAGGCCCACCAAGGCGACGAUCCGUAGCUGGUCUGAGAGGAUGAUCAGCCACACUGGAACUGAGACACGGUCCAGACUCCUACGGGAGGCAGCAGUGGGGAAUAUUGGACAAUGGGCGAAAGCAUGAUCCAGCCAUACCGCAUGGGUGAAGAAGGCCUUCGGGUUGUAAAGCCCUUUUGUUGGGAAAGAAAAGCAGCAGGUUAAUACCCCGCUGUUCUGACGGUACCCAAAGAAUAAGCACCGGCUAACUUCGUG